UACGUAGGGUGCAAGCGUUGUCCGGAAUUAUUGGGCGUAAAGGGCUCGUAGGCGGUCUGUCACGUCGGGAGUGAAAACUCAGGGCUUAACCCUGAGCCUGCUUCCGAUACGGGCAGACUAGAGGUAUGCAGGGGAGAACGGAAUUCCUGGUGUAGCGGUGGAAUGCGCAGAUAUCAGGAGGAACACCGGUGGCGAAGGCGGGUCUCUGGGCAACAACUGACGCUGAGGAGCGAAAGCGUGGGGAGCGAACGGG
Molecule: ribosomal RNA, 253 nt
Filed under: uncultured bacterium
Lineage: Bacteria
Description: partial 16S ribosomal RNA
Rfam family: Bacterial small subunit ribosomal RNA
Source: RNAcentral